Molecule: transfer RNA, 76 nt
Filed under: Gammaproteobacteria bacterium
Lineage: Bacteria; Pseudomonadati; Pseudomonadota; Gammaproteobacteria
Also listed under: 5 other names
Description: tRNA-Phe
Rfam family: tRNA
About the family: Transfer RNA (tRNA) molecules are approximately 80 nucleotides in length.
Source: RNAcentral
GGCCAGAUAGCUCAGUCGGUAGAGCAAAGGACUGAAAAUCCUUGUGUCGCUGGUUCGAUUCCAGCUCUGGCCACCA